Molecule: ribosomal RNA, 285 nt
Filed under: Aeromonas salmonicida
Lineage: Bacteria; Pseudomonadati; Pseudomonadota; Gammaproteobacteria; Aeromonadales; Aeromonadaceae
Also listed under: 1 other name
Description: partial 16S ribosomal RNA
Rfam family: Bacterial small subunit ribosomal RNA
Source: RNAcentral
AAAUUGAAGAGUUUGAUCAUGGCUCAGAUUGAACGCUGGCGGCAGGCCUAACACAUGCAAGUCGAGCGGCAGCGGGAAAGUAGCUUGCUACUUUUGCCGGCGAGCGGCGGACGGGUGAGUAAUGCCUGGGGAUCUGCCCAGUCGAGGGGGAUAACAGUUGGAAACGACUGCUAAUACCGCAUACGCCCUACGGGGGAAAGGAGGGGACCUUCGGGCCUUUCGCGAUUGGAUGAACCCAGGUGGGAUUAGCUAGUUGGUGGGGUAAUGGCUCACCAAGGCGACGAU